This is a non-coding RNA of Paramuricea clavata, 220 nucleotides long. The record is from the annotation of a GenBank genome assembly. NCBI's taxonomy places the organism in Eukaryota, Metazoa, Cnidaria, Anthozoa, Malacalcyonacea, Plexauridae.
GUUCAUAAUGCAGUUUUCCGGAAGAAACUUUGUAGUAAUGUAAUGAAGGGCAUAACUGCAUGAGUCGUAUACAGUCAUAAUUCAGUUGAUUUGGGGAAAGGGGGGCGUUCUUAGCCCUUUUUAAUCCCUUGCGCCGUGAGCUACACCGCUGCACCUACCGUAAGAAAAAAUACCUACCUGAGAAAAUACUACCCUAAGGAAAAAUUGAAUUCAUAAACUC